GACCCCGCACAAGCGGCGGAGCAUGCGGCUUAAUUCGAUGAUACCCGUAGAACCUUACCUGGACUUGACAUAUAGGGUCUAGCUAUAGAGAUAUAGUGUGCAUUAGCGCCCUAUACAGGUGGUGCAUGGCUGUCGUCAGCUCGUGUCGUGAGAUGUUGGGUUAAGUCCCGCAACGAGCGCAACCCCCUGUCCUAUGUUGCCAGCAUUUAGUUGGGGACUCAUAGGAGACUGCCGUGAUAAACCGGAGGAAGGUGGGACGACGUCAAGUCAUCAUGCCCCUUACAUCCUGGGCUACACACGUACUACAAUGCUACGGACAAAGGGCAGCAAGUUCGCGAGGACAAGCAAAUCCCAUAAACGUGGCUCAG
Molecule: ribosomal RNA, 368 nt
Filed under: uncultured bacterium
Lineage: Bacteria
Description: bacterial SSU rRNA
Rfam family: Bacterial small subunit ribosomal RNA
Source: RNAcentral